Molecule: ribosomal RNA, 406 nt
Filed under: uncultured bacterium
Lineage: Bacteria
Description: partial 16S ribosomal RNA
Rfam family: Bacterial small subunit ribosomal RNA
Source: RNAcentral
AUUGAACGCUGGCGGCAGGCCUAACACAUGCAAGUCGAACGAGUGGCGGACGGGUGAGUAAUGUCUGGGAAACUGCCUGAUGGAUGGGGAUAACUACUGGAAACGGUAGCUAAUACCGCAUACCAUCGGAUGUGCCCAGAUGGGAUUAGCUAGUAGGUGGGGUAACGGCUCACCUAGGCGACGAUCCCUAGCUGGUCUGAGAGGAUGACCAGCCACACUGGAACUGAGACACGGGCCAGACGCCUACGGGAGGCAGCAGUGGGGAAUAUUGGACAAUGGGCGCAAGCCUGAUGCAGCCAUGCCGCGUGUAUGAAGAAGGCCUUCGGUUUGUAAAGUACUUUCAGCUGGGAGGCGUUACCAGCAGAAGAAGCACCGGCUAACUCCGUGCCAGCAGCCGCGGUAAUUC